This is a non-coding RNA of Pelodiscus sinensis (Chinese soft-shelled turtle), 505 nucleotides long. The record is from RefSeq and is a predicted model, not a curated record. NCBI's taxonomy places the organism in Eukaryota, Metazoa, Chordata, Testudines, Trionychidae.
AUCACUGGGAGCGGCCCACUGGGCCAGAGCGACAUUGCAGGGACCAACGCACACGUGGAGAUCAGAGAGUUCAUGCUCCUCCCCCAGCCCCUGCUCUCUGCCAACAAACUCUCUAGAAAUACCGGGAUCCCCAGCCCAGCACCUCACCGGCCUCCAGCCUCCCUCUCUGCUCCUCUGCUCUGCAGCCCUGCUGAGACCCCAGCCCCCUCCAGCCAUGAGGAUCCUCCACCUGGUGUUUGCUGUUCUCCUGCUGGUCUCCUUGGCUGCUCCAGGCCUAGGGCAGAAGAAGGGCUGCGCUGGUCGCUGCGACUGGAAAUGCGGCAAAUACGAGUAUGAGACCUACACGUACGACUGCCCCAAGUCCUACUGCUGCCUCCCCCUCUUCAAAUGGAAAUGAGCCCGGAGGGAUCCACCCGCCCUGGACCAGGAGCAGCCGCGGCAGCGGGUCCCCGACUCCCCACAGAAAUGUCGUUCCCUCCCCCCAUUAAACGAGAGCAGGCCUGGC